ACCUUGGCUCUAGACUGCUUACUGCCAAACACUGCGGGAGAAACAGUAACAGUCUACAGUCAUGGCU
Molecule: microRNA precursor, 67 nt
Filed under: Gekko japonicus
Lineage: Eukaryota; Metazoa; Chordata; Lepidosauria; Squamata; Gekkonidae
Description: Gja-Mir-132-P2_pre stem-loop
Rfam family: mir-132 microRNA precursor family
Source: RNAcentral